Molecule: long non-coding RNA, 1011 nt
Filed under: Oryctolagus cuniculus (rabbit)
Lineage: Eukaryota; Metazoa; Chordata; Mammalia; Lagomorpha; Leporidae
Description: lncRNA (ENSOCUG00000032367.1)
Source: RNAcentral
AUGACCCUAGCUCCCUGUCUGGCCACUGGGGCCACCCACCCCUGCACCUCCAACCCUGGGUGGUUGUCCCAUGUGUCUACUGUGGGGGAGAGUGUGGCAUCUGGGUGUCCCAUCUGCAGCCAAAGCACAGCGCGCCCACCCCAGCCUGCACCCGCCCAGCCUGCGCCCGCCCUGGCCCGGGGUCCCCAGCCCCAGGUCUUGUGGGCCCCUCCCUGCUGCCCUCACCCUGUCCUGUUUGGCCACGUCCACGGUCACCGCUCCACCCUUCCCUCUUUGUGUGCCCGUGGCCUCCGGGCUCCUCCCGCGGCUCAGCGGGGGCCCUGCUCUUGUUCUUUCCUCCUGGCCUCCAGAGCGGGUUCUCACGAACGCCACUUGCCUGGUCUGAAGUCCUUCCCGCCAGCCUCAGCAUGGACUCACAGCUCCCGGGGGGCGUCCUCCUCUUCCCCUGCGGAGCGUGGGUGGGGCAGGGGGCCGAGCUGUCCCGGGCUCCCCAGUGGGGUCGGAGAAACUGGGACUAAGCCCACCCCAUGGGUGCAGGCAGCUGCAGCUGGUGGGUGCUCAGCCCGCCUUCCCCAGUGCUGCGCGGCGGAGUGGGUGAGCUGCUGUCACGGCCCACACUGCCCUUCUUCACCCAGCCCACCUGCGAGUCCCACUGGGGUCUGCUCCCUGCUCCAGGGCCAUCUCCCCCCGAAAGAGGGGGCGGUCUCUGCUCCUGCUGCCUCCCAGAAGACCUGGGCUAACCCUCUGCACUGCCUGCCUCGGGCUACAGCGAGCCAGGGGGCAGCCAGCGGCACUGCCGAGGGCAGCCAGGUGCUCUCGGGACCUGAUGGGCCUGGCCUGGCACUGCCCCGCACAGCCACCCGGCUCACGUUUCCUGGAGGAGGAAGCGAGGGUGCAGAGAUGUCCCUCGCUUUGCCCCGAGGCUGGGGUGCUUCAGAGCCGGGGUGGCGCCCCGCUAGUGAGAGCCCCAGCCUGGGUGCCCGUGGCCGACCCCGCAUCCACACCUGGUAG